UGGGGAAUAUUGCACAAUGGGCGCAAGCCUGAUGCAGCCAUGCCGCGUGUGUGAAGAAGGCCUUCGGGUUGUAAAGCACUUUCAGCGAGGAGGAAGGUGGUGAACUUAAUACGUUCAUCAAUUGACGUUACUCGCAGAAGAAGCACCGGCUAACUCCGUGCUAGCGGCCGCGGUAAUACGGAGGGUGCAAGCGUUAAUCGGAAUUACUGGGCGUAAAGCGCACGCAGGCGGUUUGUUAAGUCAGAUGUGAAAUCCCCGGGCUCAACCUGGGAACUGCAUUUGAAACUGGCAAGCUAGAGUCUCGUAGAGGGGGGUAGAAUUCCAGGUGUAGCGGUGAAAUGCGUAGAGAUCUGGAGGAAUACCGGUGGCGAAGGCGGCCCCCUGGACGAAGACUGACGCUCAGGUGCGAAAAGCGUGGGGAGCAAACAGGAUUAGAUACCCUGGUAGUCCACGCUGUAAAACGAUGUCGAUUUUGGAGGUUGUGCCCCUUGAGGCGUGGCUUCCGGAGCUAACGCGUUAAAUCGACCGCCUGGGGAGUACGGCCGCAAGGUUAAAACU
Molecule: ribosomal RNA, 558 nt
Filed under: uncultured bacterium
Lineage: Bacteria
Description: partial 16S ribosomal RNA
Rfam family: Bacterial small subunit ribosomal RNA
Source: RNAcentral